UACGAAGGGGGCUAGCGUUGUUCGGAAUCACUGGGCGUAAAGCGCACGUAGGCGGAUCUUUAAGUCAGGGGUGAAAUCCCUCGGCUUAACCGGGGAACUGCGUCUGAUACUGGAUGGCUUGAGUUUGGGAGAGGGAUGCGGAAUUCCAGGUGUAGCGGUGAAAUGCGUAGAUAUCUGGAGGAACACCGGUGGCGAAGGCGGCAUCCUGGACCAACACUGACACUGAGGAGCGAAAGCCAGGGGAGCAAACGGG
Molecule: ribosomal RNA, 253 nt
Filed under: uncultured bacterium
Lineage: Bacteria
Description: partial 16S ribosomal RNA
Rfam family: Bacterial small subunit ribosomal RNA
Source: RNAcentral